This is a long non-coding RNA of Macrobrachium nipponense, 1108 nucleotides long. RefSeq lists it as uncharacterized. NCBI's taxonomy places the organism in Eukaryota, Metazoa, Arthropoda, Malacostraca, Decapoda, Palaemonidae. The transcript has 3 exons. The record is from RefSeq and is a predicted model, not a curated record.
UAAUGGGUAACUGAUAAAAUUCAAACACCUCAAAUCGGGUUAUGUCCAACAAACAGCCUAGUUCCUCUCCGGAUGAAACAACAAAAGACAAAGGGAUUUUCCUACUAUUAAAGUUGCCAAGCGUGGUUAGUGUUACAACUUUUCAAAACAUUUAAAACAACUCCACCUUUGGCGUCAUCAAUGAUGAGGGAAAUCAGUGAAUAAAACCACAACGCCCAAUAGCAUUAGACGCCAGUGUUGACACACCGGAUCACACCGCGAAUUCCACCAGAAAAAUAAACGUUCGAUAAUUAUUGUUCCAUAGGCGACCACUUCGCCUAACAAUGCAGCACCCAAACUAAAACACGAGCCUUUAUUACCAUAUUUAACAUUCGUUGUCCAGACGGCGUUCCGGUAGGACCUAGAGAGGAGAGGAGGAUCCUCUCGCCAUUACGUGUUUCCUGCUCAGAGAGGUUUUCAGCAAGACCUUGGUUUUCAGUUCGUCAUGGCUUCGCACUUCACGCUGCUGCUGUGCAUUUCCCUGGGAAUUGUCGCCGCUUCUGGAAAGUCCUGUGGCCCUUGUAUAUUCUUCUGCGUAAAUCCUGACACACUUAACUGUCCGUACGGACAAGUAAGGAACCCGUGUACAUGCUGUUACGUGUGUCUUAAGGGCGAGGGUGAACAGUGCGGUGGCCCUAAUAACAUGUUUGGCACCUGCGCAGAAGGGCUGAUCUGUCGCGGGGGACACGGCAAGGAGAAACCAGGUCAUUGCAAGGCCCAUCGACCUAUCGGACGGUAAUACGAAUCCUAUGUGGCUUGGCUAAGGACAGUGUUUCCGAAGAAAGGAGUGGGUGUUUGCUGAACUCUCUUUUUGAGAAUGUUGACUGUAUCUAGCCGAGAGAAUUCGUGGAUUCUGUAUGAAGACGACCUCAGAAUAUAUUUUGGCUACUCUUACUCUGAGAUUCAGUAAAUAAAAUGGUUGAUGGGUCUCAUUUAUUAUUUGUACACUUAUUUCACAGCAGCCACUGUUUUGAUUACUAAUUGGUCAUAAGAUAUCCAAAGUUGUCAUUAGGUAUUAAAAGUUGUCGUUAGGUUUCAAACUGUCGAAACUUAAUAAAAGCAACACCAA